AAGUCGUAACAAGGUUUCCGUAGGUGAACCUGCGGAAGGGUCAUUAACACGUAUCCAAACGUUAAAACCCCGCGAAGUUUGCAAUCUCUGGUAAAUCAUAGCUCGGAAAGUCGCAAUUUGCGACGGGCAGGAGCUAUGCCAAAGGGUCCCCAUGCCCCCUUAUAACCUCACAGUUUAAUGUGAAGCUCAAUGUAAUACAUUGGGUAAAGAAAUCGAACAACUGUUAACAAUGAAUAUCUUGGUUCUC
This 247-nucleotide unclassified non-coding RNA is filed under the name fungal sp. RNAcentral's name for it is "partial internal transcribed spacer region". The stretch from base 1 to 46 matches the Rfam family "Eukaryotic small subunit ribosomal RNA", at positions 1786 to 1831 of the family's 1831-position model. The record is from RNAcentral. Lineage: Eukaryota; Fungi.